This 119-nucleotide ribosomal RNA is filed under the name Pteropus alecto (black flying fox). The record is from RNAcentral. Lineage: Eukaryota; Metazoa; Chordata; Mammalia; Chiroptera; Pteropodidae.
GUCUACGGCCAUGCCACCCUGAACAAGCCAGAUCCCAUCUGAUCUCGGAAGCUAGGCAGGGUCGGGCCUGGUUAGUACUUGGAUGGGAGAGCACCUAGGAAUCCCAGGUGCUGUAGACG